Molecule: long non-coding RNA, 3885 nt
Organism: Monomorium pharaonis (pharaoh ant)
Lineage: Eukaryota; Metazoa; Arthropoda; Insecta; Hymenoptera; Formicidae
Exons: 2
Source: RefSeq, a predicted model, not a curated record
GAAAUUUGAAUUAAAUGUUGUAUAUGGUACAAGACUUUACGUGCACAUGUAGUUUGGAAUAUUCCAAAUUCCAAAUUAUAUAUGCACGUAAGUCUUUACACUCACACUUUGUGCAUGCAGUUGCUUAUUCAUUUAGAAUCUCAAUGAAAUUGUUAGUCAUCUCUUAAUCUUUUUCUUGUAAUUAAUAUUUUUUAAGCUAACUUAUUAGUAAUUACUGACCGCAGAGUACAGCGUGUCAUAAACGUAAUUAAAUGUGAAAAAAAUUAAAUGUUGCGAUUUUAUAUACAAAAUCAUGCAAAAACAAUCCGAACGACAUUAUGCGCUCUGCCUAGUUUUCCGUCAAUUUCCUAGUAGAAAGGAGAAAAGGAUAAGAGAAGUAUGCCUUGUGGUCAACGAUAAUACAUUUCUUGGUAAGUAAUUACCCUUGCAAACGUACACGCAUAUGCAUUCUUCCAAUCAAAUAGCUUAAAUAAUGUCGAUGCAUCAUCAUUAAGGAAAAAAUUCAGUUGCAGAAAUUGACGUUAAAAAAAGCAAUUGAAAGGUCGGUUUAGAAAAACAAUUGACAGUUUCAAUGAAAAAGCCAAAGGCCGAUUUGAGUUAAAAAAUUUCGUUGGCAACACAUAACUUAAGACAAAUUCUUUGCUCAACAAAUUUAUUCAUUAUCAAAAUUGCAAAACACUCUUGAGUUCGAUUAACGUUAACAGUUGCUGUAAAUAAAUUGAUUGACAGAUUGCAAACCAACUCUAUGUAGCAAUUAGGUACAAUGCUGACAGCUUACACAUAAAAAAUUUUUUCGAUAUCUUCAUCACGAGACUUUUAAAUGACAAAUUCCAGAAAAAUGCGGAAAAGUUGCGGAAAAAAUUAAAGCAUGAAGCGACAGGAGUUUACCUACGUCAAAUAGUACGAGUGUAAAAGCGUACCGAUACCCUCGUCCCAAUAAAAGUAUUCUUUAACAGUCAGGCAAUCGAGGGUGCUUGUCCCUUUUUUUGUGCUACGCUUUAUGCGACAGUCCAUUAGUCUCUGUUUUGAUGCUUGGGAGAAUGUCAUAGUCAUCGUUCGAAACUUUGAGUAACGAGUUCUCUGACACCCUCGUAUUAAAUUUAUUAAAGUCGCGUGGCGCCGACGACAAGUCUGCAAUUUUGUGAUUUAAUACGCAGGAAAGACUCGUGCAAUCUGCAAGAGCCACAUUUGACGCGCGUGCAUCAGCUGGGACGAUUAAUGUAAAAAAAUAUACAUACAUUUUCAAUACACAGGCUCACACAAUCGUGUCAAAAACUUCUUUGGGAAUUUUCAGUUCAAAAAAGGUAUAGAUCCUGUAAAUAUAUAUAAAUCUUUAAACAUGAACUCUUCCACACACGUGCCAAACAUUUUGACAUCAAUGCGAAAAUAAUGCGAAAUAUCGUAUCCUCCUAAUGUGAAAAAAAUUCUCAUAAUAUUUUUAAGAAAAUUGUUUUAUUCAUGAAGAUUUCUGAAGAAAUACCAUGAAUUUUGUCAGAUAAGAUUUUCUUCUUUAUAAAGUGUAGAAACUAUAGAAUAAAAAAAUUCUAAAAAUAUAGAUAUUUCAGAGUUUUCAUCUACGAUAACAGAACUAAAUAAGAUUCACUUAUUUAUUUUUAAAUUAAAAAGUAAAAUUAAGUGGGCCAUAUUCAGCCCAGAUAUAUCUUCUAUCAUUUUAUGUAAAAAAUUUCUAGAAAAGAUAUAGAUAUCUUCAGUCCUUCGGAAAAGUCUUUCAAUUUAUAUAUACAUAUAUUAUAGAAGAAAACUGACUUUUUUAAAGACUUACAAGAUUAUAUAGAAAUAGAUUUUGAAAAAUGCUAAAAAUUUUCCAUAUAAUAGUUGAAAAAUUAUGUGAAAAAAUUUAAAAAAUUUAUCAGAGACAAAAUUUAAUAAUCUCUUAAUAAAACUUUGCCAUUCAACAUAUUACAUUUUAAUGGUAAGGUACGGUAUAAAAAUCGAUGUUUUAGAAUCACGUUACUUUCAUACACGUAUAUUCCUGAUUACGUCCGAAACAACGUAGCGUACGUAUUUUAAAAUCUUCGCGGGCGCGCGGCCGGAACAAUAACCAGUCAAAUUCCGAGUAGAAGGUCUUUCGUUCCUUUUGGUACUAAUAUCUUUUUAUUGAACAAGCGUGAUAGCAACGGUUGCGCCGUGCAAUUUGUGUUGUCUCGGAUAUAUGUAUCGUUUGCUCGUAUCGCGCGCCGGCAAAGCUGAUGUGUCGGCGACAUAGUAACUAACAGUGCAAUUGCAAUUCACGCGCGCGGCGGAGGGGAAAAGUCGCUUUCCCGUCGGCCGCUACGUGAAAUUGUUCGGCCACGAUCAUGGCGAUCCAGAUAAGGCAUCGUGCCAGUAUCAAUUACAGGGGCGAGCAGCGGCGACGACGGGGGUGUAUAAUGACUGGUCCGGAUAAUACUUUAAGUCAUACUCGAGAACGAGCGAGCGAGCCAAACGUCGCCGCCCUUCUCCGAUCAUUACCGCUCUGUUUCUCUCGGCGGCACGCCUAAUUACUAAUUAUUACGGCGUAAUUGUGCAGCAUUACGGCUCGCGUUACCACUGGCGUUGCUGCGUAAUCUGCAUGCAAGGGCGGACUACAUUAUUCGCGCUUACACUUCGUAGCCGCGCUUUAGCGACGCUUUAUGACUGCAUGGGUCUUGGCUUCGAAUGUUAACUCGCGAUUUAAGUCCACCGGUUUCUUUCGCUGUACGAUCGUCGAUUUUUGACGGCAAAACACAAUGCAAGAUUUCGAUAGGGAUUAAGAUAAUUGCAGUAUACUGAGUAUAUUUCUUUCAUUGCAAUAAAUAUCGAUUGCGUUAAAAAUUAAUUGAAUCGUUGACUAUUAUUGCAAAAUUCUAUUUUAUUAUUCACUUUUAGUAACUUUUUAAUAACUUCGAUUUAAUUUAACAGGAGAUAUCUCCAAAGAGGCAAAAAGAGACAAUUUAAUUUUAAACAAGAUUGAAUAAUUAACGAAAUUUUACUCUCUCAAUUUUUUCGUUGCACCCAUUUAUUAUAAUAAAACUUAUGCGGCAUAUGUACGUUUUUGCUGUGACAUAAUAAUCGCGGAGAAAAAUAAAUGUCACCUUUUGCAAUUUGCAUCGCGAGUCCAACCCGCGCGAGUUUUUCUAAUAACUUAAACGUCGAUAAAGGCAAGGCUUUCCUUUUAUGACGAAUGUGUAACUAGUUGCAAAUGCGGCCGAUUAGUAUCACUGGCGAACGAGCAAGCGGGCGUUUCAAUUAGCGAUUUCUUGCGAAAUCGCGCCGCAUUACCGUUAUAAUUUUGCAGCCACCGAAGUUAGCCUAAUCUCUGUACGUGGGCGGAUUACAUUAUUCGCGCUUACAUUUCUGACUCACACGCCGUGAUUUGUACAACGAUACGAUAAAGAUAAAGAAAGUGUGUGUUUCGAGAUUGUGACAUAAUAGUUUCUUUUUUUUCAUAUCCGCGCAGAACAUGCGCGAUUAAUUUUUUUCUUUAUUUAUUAAUUUUCUAUUUUAUGCUUUUUAUAUACGACAUUCCAGCAUAAUAAAAAUAUUUUAUAUUUGUAUCAAAAUCAAACCUUGUGAAAAUUUAGGCGUUAAAUUUUUUAAAUACUCGAGUAUUAAUUUGAUAUAAAAAAUGUUACAUUUUUAUUUUCAUUUUGCAUAAUAUGAGUUCGUGUUUAUUACCGUCUAAUAUAGCUUGUAUUAAAUUUAAUACAAAAAAUUUUUACUGUGUGUAAAAUCUCUCUUUAAAGAGAUAUACAAACGUUAAUAAUCAUAAUUUAUUAAUAAUCUUAAUAUUAAAAGUUAUAAUUAUAAUAACAAAGAAGCGAGUUAAUUCAUAUAAGUAAAAAUGUAUUUAAAAAUAAUAUGUAGUAUCGUGUGCCCAUGUGCUCCCUCCCCCAAAAAAUAAAA